RNAcentral lists this ribosomal RNA (586 nucleotides) under uncultured bacterium. Its description in RNAcentral is "bacterial SSU rRNA". It matches the Rfam family "Bacterial small subunit ribosomal RNA", at positions 338 to 917 of the family's 1533-position model. The record is from RNAcentral.
CCUACGGGAGGCAGCAGUGGGGAAUCUUGCACAAUGGAGGAAACUCUGAUGCAGCCAUGCCGCGUGUGUGAAGAAGGCCUUCGGGUUGUAAAGCACUUUCAGUAAGGAGGAAAGGUUAGUAGUUAAUACCUGCUAGCUGUGACGUUACUUACAGAAGAAGCACCGGCUAACUCCGUGCCAGCAGCCGCGGUAAUACGGAGGGUGCGAGCGUUAAUCGGAAUUACUGGGCGUAAAGCGUACGCAGGCGGUUUGUUAAGCGAGAUGUGAAAGCCCCGGGCUCAACCUGGGAACUGCAUUUCGAACUGGCAAGCUAGAGUGUGAUAGAGGGUGGUAGAAUUUCAGGUGUAGCGGUGAAAUGCGUAGAGAUCUGAAGGAAUACCGAUGGCGAAGGCAGCCACCUGGGUCAACACUGACGCUCAUGUACGAAAGCGUGGGGAGCAAACGGGAUUAGAUACCCCGGUAGUCCACGCCGUAAACGAUGUCUACUAGGAGUUCGGUUUUUCGGAACUGUCUUCCAAAGCUAACGCAUUAAGUAGACCGCCUGGGGAGUACGGCCGCAAGGUUAAAACUCAAAUGAAUUGACGGA